AUUGUUUUGGGAGUUGUAUUUUU
RNAcentral lists this small nuclear RNA (23 nucleotides) under Arabidopsis thaliana (thale cress). RNAcentral's name for it is "snRNA_02800". Lineage: Eukaryota; Viridiplantae; Streptophyta; Magnoliopsida; Brassicales; Brassicaceae. The record is from RNAcentral.